RNAcentral lists this transfer RNA (72 nucleotides) under Camelus bactrianus (Bactrian camel). It matches the Rfam family "tRNA". Rfam says of the family: Transfer RNA (tRNA) molecules are approximately 80 nucleotides in length. Their secondary structure includes four short double-helical elements and three loops (D, anti-codon, and T loops). Further hydrogen bonds mediate the characteristic L-shaped molecular structure. tRNAs have two regions of fundamental functional importance: the anti-codon, which is responsible for specific mRNA codon recognition, and the 3' end, to which the tRNAs corresponding amino acid is attached (by aminoacyl-tRNA synthetases). tRNAs cope with the degeneracy of the genetic code in two manners: having more than one tRNA (with a specific anti-codon) for a particular amino acid; and 'wobble' base-pairing, i.e. permitting non-standard base-pairing at the 3rd anti-codon position. Lineage: Eukaryota; Metazoa; Chordata; Mammalia; Artiodactyla; Camelidae. The record is from Rfam by way of RNAcentral. RNAcentral also lists the same sequence under 3 other names.
GAGGGUAUAGCUCAGUGGUAAAGCUCAUGCUUAGCAUGCAUGAGGUCCUGGGUUCAAUCUCCAGUACCGCCA